Molecule: long non-coding RNA, 581 nt
Organism: Amblyraja radiata (thorny skate)
Lineage: Eukaryota; Metazoa; Chordata; Chondrichthyes; Rajiformes; Rajidae
Exons: 3
Source: RefSeq, a predicted model, not a curated record
CGGGUUGAGCGACAGGGAUGUGCGCUGAGCUGGAGGUGGGGACGCUGGUGCAGGUAGCGGAGGCCCUGGAGAGUGUGUUGUCCCCGUGCUUCGGUCCACAAGGUGGCCAGGUACUGUUCACCAGUGCCACCGGUGAGAUGCUCAUCACCAGGGAUGGGGCGACUAUCCUGGACUCACUGAUGCUGGAGCACCCCGUUGCAAGGUCAGUCUCCCCCUGUACCCGGUUACUCCUAGUGCCAACACACCCCCUGUACCCGGUUACUCCUAGUGCCAACACUCCCCCUGUACCCGCUACUCCUAGUGCCAACACACCCCCUGUACCCGGUUACUCCUAGUGCCAACACUCCCCCUGUACCUGCUACUCCUAGUGCCAACACUCCCCCUGUACCCGCUACUCCUAGUGCCAUCACUCCCCCUGUACCCGCUACUCCUAGUGCCAACACUCCCCCUGUACCCAGCUACUCCUAGUGCCAACACUCCCCCUGUACCCGGUUACUCCUAGUGCCAUCACUCCCCCUGUACCCGCUACUCCUAGUGCCAACACUCCCCCUGUACCCGCUACUCCCAGUUACAACACUCCC